This is a long non-coding RNA of Amphimedon queenslandica, 558 nucleotides long. RefSeq lists it as uncharacterized. The record is from RefSeq and is a predicted model, not a curated record. NCBI's taxonomy places the organism in Eukaryota, Metazoa, Porifera, Demospongiae, Haplosclerida, Niphatidae. The transcript has 2 exons.
GCCACCUUUUUUCAUCUUCAUCAUCAUCAAGAAUAAGAAGUCCUGUCAAUUCAGUUGGCGAGGUGUAACUCAAUAUUGGCUGGUACUACAAGACUAGUUCUUACACCAUUCUACUCCAAAUGACUAUGCGCAGAUCCAUGUCCCAUAAGAUCAUUCUUCAAGUAAGGAAAAAGUGAUGAUUAUGACUGCUAGACAGUACCAACUUACCUGCAUGCCGCCAUUUUGUUAAUAUUAAAGAAGCAUGUGUUCGAAAUUUAGGUGUGGUCGCGCAUGCUCAGAUCAUUUCCUCAAUUCCUCUAUUUAAUCGUAUGUAAAAUCGAAAAUGGCUACACCUUGUCAUCUUGGGCUACACUGUACAGAAGUGGAACAGGAAACCCUUCAGUGAUGUAAAGUGACACUCUUUCCAUUUGCCCAAGUCCUAUUGUAGCUGUAGCUAUCAUUAUGUUUGCACUUUGCAGCUUCAAUUCAUUGUUGAUGAAUAUUGCGGGCAAUCAUUAUUACAUGUUUAAUGUCCAAUUUCUGUUUUAUAAUUUUGCUGUAACAUUAAUGAAUAUGGAA